UGCAGCUGCAUAGUAAGAGACUAAGGCAUUGAUGCUGUUAAGAGACAAGACAGAGGAAGGGUUAUUAUCCCCCUGGUGCAGACAGGGGAUUAAGGCUCACACACAGACCAAGGGUCAUUAAAGGACCAUGUGGCUGAUCAGGGAGCUGGGUUAAAGGUUUGGUGUUAUAACAGCACCGACACAGACAAGAGCGGUGCUUGGUUUUUUGCCGGCACUUUCAUCGGUAGAUCUCAAAUCACUUUACAAAGCAGGUCCCUGUUGUUAUCCCCGCUGUCAUUAGCUCAGGGAGAAGGAGUGGCUUUGGCUACGACUAAAGCUGCCUUUUAAUGGGGGGGCCUCAUCAGGAGCAGAGCCUUAUCAUGGGGAGCACCUGCCUCAGCUUUGCAGCUCUUCCAGGCCUCUCCCUUUCCAAUUCCCUUGCAUUAUUCGGUCACAGACGGCGCGGCAGAUCACACAGCGCUGCCUUGAUGCGAACCGAUGAGCUGUGUGCAUGAGGCGGAUGGGACGGGGGGACAUGGGAGCACGAAGGGAAACAGGUCCCUGGUUGGGAAGGCCGGAGUUUUUGGCUGGAGUCCGGCUGAUAUCCAGACGCAGCCAGAGCGCAGCAGCUUCAGAGAAGCUUUUGCAGAGAAGUGAGGGCCGAGAAGCAGGCACCUGCGGUGCAUCACCACACACGGGCCACCCGCUCCCUCCGCUCCAGAGACCCACGUACCUCUGCCAUUCAACAUCUCAGAGCAACCAGGAGAGGGCAAUGACACCUACACGUAACCUGUGCAAUCCAGCCCUGGCAUGGGACCCGGGGUUCCCCUUCCACCCUUCCAGUGCCACUCCAGGCCCACCCACCCCCUGCUUGAAUCUCGCAACAGUGAACACUGCAGGCCUCCAGCUGAGGCUCUGCUCUCUGUCAUGAUAAACUGAAACAUGCACCAACUUUGAGAAAAGGAGAGAGGAAGAAGGCUAAUAAAAAAAAAUUACAGCUGCUGAGCCAGACAACUUCCACACAGCUCGAGUUCCAGCUCGGUCACUGCUGACCAAGGUCCACCGUGUGCAAAACUCUACAGCACUGACCGAUCUAAUAUCUGAAAUGGAUAACGGCCCAUAAACAGACCACUGCAGAAAUCACAGGGAGUCUCUGUUAAUAGGAUUUCCUUGUCAAACUUAAUUAAAAAAAAAAAAAAAGCUUUACCAAAUGUAACCCUCCUUUCCAGGACCCGAGAUGGCCCUGCUGCCUGAGAUGUGACUACAGGGGAUGACACCUUGUUUGUUAUGUAAAUAGAUGAAGGCAGGAAGAAAUGUUAAUUUGCUCCGUGCUGUUGCCUCUUGGUUACUUGGGAGAUCGCAGCGGGGUCAUCAUUAAAAGGAGAUAGCUUUGGAAAUUAGAAAUGAACAAUUGUCUUAAUGAACAGCCAGGCCUCUGCCACUGAGUUCAGGGCUUGGUUUGGGCUUUGUCAUACGGUAGCACUUUUUCCGAGCUGCAGUGUUAAUCAGCAUUGUUUCCACUGAUUGACUUGAAUGCAGAUGGUGUUUGUUACUUUUAGGCUUGCACACGCAAGGGGUUGAGCAAGCGGCCCUUUGAUGGGGUGCUGGACUGGUACUGGGUUGAUGUGACUUCAGUCUGUGCCUCCGGCACACAUGGGAGCUACGUAGGUGAGAUGUCACUUAGACCAAGCCUCUCAAACUGGCUCUGGCUCCCAGGUCCCAAGCAAGUGCAAACCUGAGGACAAGACACUGAGGUCUUAAAAUGGGACAGUAUUUCCUUUCUUUCCGGGGAGGUUGGAAGAUUCAAGUCGAAGACUAUCUCUCUUGUAUGUAUGUGCUGCGCCUAGCAGGCUGAGGCCCUGAUCUCGGUGUUGGACUCUAGGUGCUAUUACAGUGAUGUUCAGGGGCUCUAUGUUACCCACUGGGCCUUAG
This is a long non-coding RNA of Gavialis gangeticus (Gharial), 1911 nucleotides long. RefSeq lists it as uncharacterized. The transcript is spliced from 4 exons. Lineage: Eukaryota; Metazoa; Chordata; Crocodylia; Gavialidae. The record is from RefSeq and is a predicted model, not a curated record.